RNAcentral lists this ribosomal RNA (253 nucleotides) under uncultured bacterium. Its description in RNAcentral is "partial 16S ribosomal RNA". It matches the Rfam family "Bacterial small subunit ribosomal RNA", at positions 524 to 776 of the family's 1533-position model. The record is from RNAcentral.
UACGUAGGGGGCAAGCGUUGUCCGGAAUCAUUGGGCGUAAAGCGCGCGUAGGCGGCCCGGUAAGUCCGCUCUGAAAGUCCAGGGCUCAACCCUGGAAAGCGGGUGGAUACUGCCGGGCUAGAGUCCGGAAGAGGCGAGUGGAAUUCCCAGUGUAGCGGUGAAAUGCGUAGAUAUUGGGAGGAACACCAGUGGCGAAGGCGGCUCACUGGACCGGUUCUGACGCUGAUGCGCGAAAGCGUGGGGAGCAAACGGG